RNAcentral lists this ribosomal RNA (500 nucleotides) under uncultured bacterium. RNAcentral's name for it is "partial 16S ribosomal RNA". It matches the Rfam family "Bacterial small subunit ribosomal RNA", at positions 30 to 523 of the family's 1533-position model. The record is from RNAcentral.
AUUGAACGCUGGCGGAAUGCUUUACACAUGCAAGUCGAACGGCAGCACGGACUUCGGUCUGGUGGCGAGUGGCGAACGGGUGAGUAAUGUAUCGGAACGUGCCCAGUCGUGGGGGAUAACGUAGUGAAAAUUACGCUAAUACCGCAUACGAUCUAUGGAUGAAAGCGGGGGAUCGCAAGACCUCGCGCGAUUGGAGCGGCCGAUAUCAGAUUAGGUAGUUGGCGGGGUAAAGGCCCACCAAGCCAACGAUCUGUAGCCGGUCUGAGAGGACGACCAGACAGACUGGAACGGUGCCACGUUCCAGACUCCUACGGGAGGCAGCAGUGGGGAAUGUUGGACAAUGGGCGAAAGCCUGUUCCAGCCAAUCCGCGUGAAGGAUGAAGGCACUCAGGUUGUAAACUGCUUUUGUACAGAACGAAAAGGUUUCUACUAAUACUAGGAGCUCAUGACGGUACUGUAAGAAUAAGCACCGGCUAACUACGUGCCAGCAGCCGCAGUAA